GUACCUUCAAGCUCUGCUUGGUGUUGGGUGUUUGUCCUUGCUCUAGUGGUGGGACUCGCCUUAAAGUAAUUGGCAGCCAGUGUUUUGGUUUUGAAGCGCAGCACAAGUCGCGAUUCAAGUCUAUACACUAGUUCCCACAAGUCUUUUAUCACUU
Molecule: unclassified non-coding RNA, 154 nt
Filed under: uncultured Leptosphaeria
Lineage: Eukaryota; Fungi; Ascomycota; Dothideomycetes; Pleosporales; Leptosphaeriaceae
Description: sequence contains ITS2
Source: RNAcentral